Molecule: ribosomal RNA, 527 nt
Filed under: uncultured bacterium
Lineage: Bacteria
Description: bacterial SSU rRNA
Rfam family: Bacterial small subunit ribosomal RNA
Source: RNAcentral
UGGGGAAUAUUGUACAANGAGGGAAACCCUGAUGCAGCGACGCCGCGUGAGUGAAGAAGUAUUUCGGUAUGUAAAGCUCUAUCAGCAGGGAAGAAAAUGACGGUACCUGAGUAAGAAGCCCCGGCUAACUACGUGCCAGCAGCCGCGGUAAUACGUAGGGGGCAAGCGUUAUCCGGAUUUACUGGGUGUAAAGGGAGCGCAGACGGCUCUGCAAGUCUGAAGUGAAAGCCCGCGGCUUAACCGCGGGACUGCUUUGGAAACUGCAAGGCUUGAGUAUCGGAGGGGCAGGCGGAAUUCCUAGUGUAGCGGUGAAAUGCGUAGAUAUUAGGAAGAACACCGGUGGCGAAGGCGGCCUGCUGGACGAAAACUGACGUUGAGGCUCGAAGGCGUGGGGAGCAAACAGGAUUAGAUACCCUGGUAGUCCACGCGGUAAACGAUGAAUACUAGGUGUUGGUGCCCGAAGGNCAUCGGUGCCGUCGCAAACGCAAUAAGUAUUUCCACCUGGGGGAGUACGUUCGCAAGAAAUG